AUAACCUCGGGAAACUGAGGCUAAAAUCCAAUACGAGAUUUUCUCUGGAAAGAGUUUUCUCUGAAACGCAAGGUCUAAGGAUGGGGCUGCGAUUGAUUAGGUUGUUGGCGGGGUAAAAGCCCACCAAGCCGAUGAUCAGUAGGGGCUCUUAGCGGAGUCGCCCCGAGAGGAAAUCUGAGACACUAUUUCCAGCUCUACGGAGUGCAGCAGUCGCGAAUCUUUUGCAAUGCGCGCAAGCGUGACAAAGCGAACCAAAGUGCUUUCCGCACAGGAAAGCUUUUCUCUGCUGUAAAAAGGCAGGGGAAUAAGGACUGGGCAAGACCGGUGCCAGCCGCCGCGGUAAUCCCGGCAGUCCAAGUCGCAGCCAACAUUAUUGGGUCUAAAACAUCCGUAGCUUGCUUAUUAAGUUCCUUGUGAAAUCCUAUGUCUCAAGCAUGGGGCUUGCGGGGAAUACUGAUAAGCUAGAGACCGGAAGAUGCAAAGAGUACACUUAAGGCAGUGGUAAAAUACGUUAAUCUUAGGUGGACUAACAAUUGGCGAAGGCACUUUGCAAGUACGGAUCUGACAGUGAGGGAUGAAGGCUAGGGGCGCAAAAUGGAUUAGAUACCCAUGUAGUCCUAGCAGUAAACACUGCUCACUAAACAUCGGUCUCUCUUCGGGAGAAAUCGGUGCUGCAGCGAAGGCGAAGAGUGAGCUACCUGGGAAGUAUAGUCGCAAGAUCGAAACUUAA
RNAcentral lists this ribosomal RNA (730 nucleotides) under uncultured archaeon. RNAcentral's name for it is "bacterial SSU rRNA". It matches the Rfam family "Archaeal small subunit ribosomal RNA", at positions 126 to 859 of the family's 1478-position model. The record is from RNAcentral.